This 1092-nucleotide long non-coding RNA is filed under the name Suricata suricatta (meerkat). RNAcentral's name for it is "lncRNA (ENSSSUG00005011947.1)". The record is from RNAcentral. Lineage: Eukaryota; Metazoa; Chordata; Mammalia; Carnivora; Herpestidae.
CUCCACGGCCUGCAGGCUGCGUGCUCACGCCACCACUGCGCUUCAGCUAUGGCGCAGGAGACAAUAUAUGGAAUGCACCUGGCGUAUAAGUAGCUGAAUAUAUGUUAGUUUUUUCCUUCUCCCCAGGUGUAGGGAUUCCUGGAGGUAAAAACAAUACCAAUAUGGCUGGCCUAACCCUGAUAACAAACUGACCCCUAACCUAAGCCACAGACUCCCUUCCUAACCUACUGGCCUACAGGACUAACUCUAGCCCCAGACAGAGCUGAGAUCCUAGGGUCAUGUCCUCCACAGACCUGUUCUGAAGUGACAGCUGCCACCCAGCUCUCAAGAUCACACUGCGUUCCCUCCGCCCACCAGAGCUCUGUUAGGGUCUGCCCCUGCCCAGCCCACAGUGCUGACGCCAAGGGGACUUACUCAUAGCCCCAAACUCCUCCACCUCAGCCUCAGGCCGUUCUGACAGUUGGAGCUCAGAAGCCUCAGCCCAACUGACUCCUGGUUGCCAAGCAAGUUGCCAUGGAUGCGAGGCAACCGCUGUAGACUGAGUGUAUUGAGCAUGUGCACAGGGGUGGCAGGGGGCCUUGGGAGGCAGGGGCAGGGUGAGGGAGGAGAGGGUUUCUCUUGGAAGAGGGGGAGAAAGGGCAUUGAAGAGAAAGUCACUGCAGCCUCAGUUCCCCAGAGCUCAGACUUUCUCACUGCUGGAAGAGGCAGUCAUGUUCCCAUUUUCAUUCGCAGACCCAUGUGAUUAGGAGAAGUUGACCACACCCCCGACUCCACAGCCAGAAGGCCAUCAGCACAUUCCAUUCCCCUGCUCUGCUCCCGGGAUUUGGUUCAGAAUGGACAUGUUUCCAAGCCUCUCCAAUCAGAAUAAAUCUCAAAACUUUUGUUGGGAAUUCUGAAUUAUAGACCUUAUCUUUCCUUCUAUACAUAAAUAAGAAAGAAAAUUGUUCUAGAGGCUUCUGGCUGCCUUUUGGGAAUACUGAAGCUAUUCCUAGAGAAAAGGGAGAAAAGACCAAAACAAAACAGGUUCUUCGUGACAUUGUUGAGACCUGACUGAAGGUAGCCCUAUUGCUAGAUGCUUCAGUUAUGUGAGAC